GAUGAACGCUGGCGGCGUGCCUAAUACAUGCAAGUCGAACGAAACUUCUUUAUCACCGAGUGCUUGCACUCACCGAUAAAGAGUUGAGUGGCGAACGGGUGAGUAACACGUGGGCAACCUGCCCAAAAGAGGGGGAUAACACUUGGAAACAGGUGCUAAUACCGCAUAACCAUAGUUACCGCAUGGUAACUAUGUAAAAGGUGGCUAUACUACCGCUUUUGGAUGGGCCCGCGGCGCAUUAGCUAGUUGGUAGGGUAAAGGCUUACCAAGGCAAUGAUGCGUAGCCGAAUUGAGAGGUUGAUCGGCCACAUUGGGACUGAGACACGGCCCAAACUCCUACGGGAGGCAGCAGUAGGGAAUCUUCCACAAUGGGCGAAAGCCUGAUGGAGCAACGCCGCGUGGGUGAAGAAGGUCUUCGGAUCGUAAAACCCUGUUGUUAGAGAAGAAAGUGCGUGAGAGUAACUGUUCACGUUUCGACGGUAUCUAACCGGAAAGCCACGGCUAACUACGCG
RNAcentral lists this ribosomal RNA (512 nucleotides) under uncultured bacterium. RNAcentral describes it as "partial 16S ribosomal RNA". It matches the Rfam family "Bacterial small subunit ribosomal RNA", at positions 28 to 507 of the family's 1533-position model. The record is from RNAcentral.